UUAACCCCAAAAUAUUAUUACAAAAUUGCAUUUGCAAAAAUUAUAAAAAUAACAUGCCUAUUAAAUAUAUUAGGACAUGCCAAACAACACUUUUUAAAGUAUGCUUUUUUAAAAUAAAAAAUACUUUCAAAUCUCGAUAUAUUGGAUCCAGAGUACAUUAACAGAUCAAUAUUAUUGAAAUCCAUUAUAUAAUGAGUUCUCUCAAAUACAUCAAACGAUGCUUAAAUAGAUGAUCUUACGUUCGUGUCCAUGUCAUAUUGAAUUUAUUGAACGAGUUUAAUAAUAAUAAUAGUCUUUAUUUCAACUUGAUGACAUAUUGAGUCUAAUACUCAUCAACACAGUUUUAUCACGUGACUCGAACCCGCAACCCUUCGGUCACAAGCCCUGAGUCCUACCACUAGACAUCCGCGCCUCACAUAUCAAUAAGCCAGCUUCUCACGACUUUAACGUUAGAGCUCGUGUUGUUUUAUUUCUAGAACUAUUAUAACCAAAAGUGGUAGAUCAAGUGCUCUUAUUUCAGACACUAACGACGUCACCGAGAGGUAACACAGCCACUUAUUACUGCGUAUCAUACAUAUCUAGUAAAACAUAGGUUUUCGCUUUUAAAAGAGAAUCAAGCCAAGUGUAAAUUCAAAUGCACAGCUAGUACCCACUUAUACACACAUCAAAACAAUGUAAAUUUAGGACGUAUUUGUACUCUCGUAACAUAAUAGUGAAAAUUGAUUAAAAACAUGUGUAAGCCAUAUACCAUAAGCCAUGUACGUAUACCAAGAAGAGAUAUCUUAAUAGCGUUUACAAUAUUUCUAAGUACAUUUAUAUACUGUAAACGAACAUAUUUAAACAGUAAUACUAUAUUAGGUCUUUUCGUCCUUUUUUUUCAAAGCAUGAUGAAUUACAAUUACCAUUAUAUUGAAUUCAUGUUAUACAAAAUGUAUGUACAAUUAAUGCAUGUUCUAGACAGCUAUAACACUAAAACAUACUAGAUUCCAAAUUGUAAAUGACCACGCAUGUAGCGAGUACACUUAGAAGAGUGUAUUUUUAGUAAAUACAUCGUUUCUCACGCAAUCUUUUCACGAGUGUACACAACAGUUAGAUACCAUACUCAUUGACAUUUAAAAUGCCGGUUUAUCUCAUGUAAAAUAUUAAAACAUAUUUUGUUACCAUAAAACCUGCCGUGUUCCCUCCAUCCUGCUUUCAUCCGUUCUUUGACCACACUCCAAACAAUAAUCAAACACAGUUGUCUUGUGUCUCGUGUAUAGGAUUAGCUACAUCCCAUAAACAAAGCAUGCCUGCAUCAAUGUUAUGUAUACCAAAAACACGUAGCAGGGUCAAAAAAAUAACACUGUAACUUCUAUUUACACAUCAGUAUAGUACCAAUUACUUCAUAUUAACUUUCAUUCCGAGCGAUCAGAUGAUUCCCAAUAUGACCUCGACAUACAAACACUCUUAAAAAAAUCAAUAUUUACACUACGUAUUCUAUGGUAUGCUAAUAAUGACAUAACUUUAUGCUGUACCUCAUCCCAGAAAUUCAGUGUAUGCAAUAUUGGCACGAAUGUUGUCAGGUACUCCUUAACACUAUGUUUACGUUGUUAAAUAGACAUUAUGUUUAUGUAUUGUCGGGUACUCCUUAACACUAUGUUUUUGUUGUCAAAUAGAGAUUAUGUUUAUGUAUUGUCAGAGAUGAACGUAAUACACAAACAUCAAUUUACACUGCAUCAUAAAUACUAAUGCCUUACCUAUUGUCAUACAUGUACCAUCUUAAUGCUGUACCUAUUGU
Molecule: long non-coding RNA, 1777 nt
Organism: Mizuhopecten yessoensis (Yesso scallop)
Lineage: Eukaryota; Metazoa; Mollusca; Bivalvia; Pectinida; Pectinidae
Exons: 2
Source: RefSeq, a predicted model, not a curated record